AUGGCCGAGGCCGCUUUCGACCACUUCUCCUCGCUCUUCGGUUCCUCCCCGCCACGCGAAUUCACCCUUGAUCUUGAUCAGUUUGAUGACAGAUCUUUUAACCUCACUGACCUCGAGCUUCCUUUUUCCGAGGAGCAGAUCCUACGAGCUGCUCGCGCGCUUCCCCGUGGCAAGGCUCCGGGACCUGACGGCUUCACAUCUGAAUUUCUUGUGGCAUGUUGGGACAUCGUCAAGGCCGACAUUUGCGCAGUUUUUGACAAGUUCCACUCCAUGAACGGGCGUAGCAUGCAGCGCCUCUACGAAGCUCUAAUCACCCUCCUGCCCAAAAGGAAAGAAGCCUCCGCCCUCUCGGAUUAUCGCCCCAUCAGCCUGCUCCACCUUGUGGCCAAGCUCAUCACAAAGGUCCUCUCCCUCCGUCUCUCCCCACGACUGGGACAGCUCGUGUCCGCGAACCAGAGCGCUUUCAUUGCAGGCGGCUGCAUGCACGGCAACUUCAUGUUGGUCCAACAGACCGCCCGCUGA
RNAcentral lists this ribosomal RNA (522 nucleotides) under Triticum aestivum (bread wheat). RNAcentral describes it as "partial small subunit ribosomal RNA". The record is from RNAcentral. Lineage: Eukaryota; Viridiplantae; Streptophyta; Magnoliopsida; Poales; Poaceae.